UACGUAGGGGGCAAGCGUUGUCCGGAAUUAUUGGGCGUAAAGAGCGCGUAGGCGGUCCGAUAAGUCGGCUGUGAAAGUCAAGGGCUCAACCCUUGGAAGCCGGCCGAUACUGUCGGACUAGAGUCCGGAAGAGGCGAGUGGAAUUCCCGGUGUAGCGGUGAAAUGCGUAGAUAUCAGGAGGAACACCAAUGGCGAAGGCAGCUCGCUGGGACGGUACUGACGCUGAGGCGCGAAAGCGUGGGGAGCAAACAGG
Molecule: ribosomal RNA, 253 nt
Filed under: uncultured bacterium
Lineage: Bacteria
Description: partial 16S ribosomal RNA
Rfam family: Bacterial small subunit ribosomal RNA
Source: RNAcentral